Molecule: long non-coding RNA, 1352 nt
Organism: Lontra canadensis (Northern American river otter)
Lineage: Eukaryota; Metazoa; Chordata; Mammalia; Carnivora; Mustelidae
Exons: 3
Source: RefSeq, a predicted model, not a curated record
UCCUCAUCGACUGAUUUAUCCAUUCUGAUGUACAAACAUACGCCUCUUCUUGAGUCAGGGUUGGACCUAGUGACUUAAUUCUAACAAAUUGAAUGUGGGGAGGUGACAGUGUCACUUUCAAGAUCAGGUUACCAAAAAUAAAUGUAGUUUCUGUCUUGGUUUCUCUCUUUUGCUUUCUCUUGGAUCACACUGUGGGAAAAACCACUUGCCAUAUCAUAAAACAGUCUCAUGGAAAGGCUCCUGUGGCAGGGGACUGAGGCCUGCCAGUAGCCACUUGAGAGAGCUUGUCAGGGGGCCCUCCUGUAGUCAGAUCUCUGGAUGACUGAAGCAGUAUGGACAUCUUGAUCACAGCCUUACAAAAGACCUCAAGCCAAGAGGAGCCAGACAAACCAUGCCAGAUUCCUGAUUCCAGAAACUAAUGAAGCUGUCUGUGAGGAAGUUCCUCAGCUCUUCAUAAAAUAGAUUCCUGGGAAGGCAUAGGGAGAAUCACCUAAAUCACAUCAAAGGCAACUACUUAUCCUCAAACUGGUCUGCAAAGGUGACUACCUGAGCUCAGAGUGGUUCCCUAAAACACCAAUCCAUUCCUGCAGAACCUCUCUCAGACACCCCUUCCUGUGGAAGAAGCAAACUUUCCAGGAAGAGCACAACCACAGCUUGAAGAAAUGCCUACAUAAUGUGCAAGGUAUUCAGCUCAAAAAGAGGAGGCAAUGUUAGCAGACUGCCUCAACAAUUCAGGGACCUAAUUUAAAUGUGAAGGAACAGUUUGAGGUUCAAAUAUAUAAAGGGAGAAAGACAAACUGGGAAAGAUAUUUUAAAACUUUUCCAGGAAAACACUGUUUUUUGUUUUGUAUUAUUUUUUUCCAAUUACAGUUUCUGAGCAGAGAGUGUAUGUAUAGGAUGGAUUUACUCUCAAGGUGUGGGAAUGAUGGGAGUCAUCAUUCAUCCCUUGAUGGGAGAGUUUUCUUAGCUGAGCUUUAUGAUCAUAACCAGUAAACUCUGAUCAAAAGACAUUGAUUUUCUCUUUUCUGAUUUUUCUCUUCUUUCCCAUUUCUUUAUAUAUAACACUAAUUCUGUGCUGGGACUAUGACUAAAUUCAAGUUGUACUAAAUGAUGUAUUGGUAUUAUGUAUAGCAUAGCAAAGCAUGUUCACUUGAGCUCUGGGCAUAGCAUGUUUACUGGAUAAAUAUUACUUAGGGAAUUGGUAGUUAAAUUUUCAAUAGAUGCCAUGGGAUCUUUGUUAUGAGGAUCUGACUGUGGUUUCAAAAUGUUGGGCAAAUAGGAAAGGUUCUGUGGAUCUUCUGUGGCUCUGGAAUACAAGGGGUAUCUGAGAGCUGAAAAGAUGCUGAAGGAAC